This 381-nucleotide unclassified non-coding RNA is filed under the name uncultured bacterium. RNAcentral describes it as "contains 16S-23S intergenic spacer region". The record is from RNAcentral.
UCCGGCUUGUCACCGGCAGUCCCCUUAGAGUGCCCAACAAAAUGAUGGCAACUAAGGGCGAGGGUUGCGCUCGUUGCGGGACUUAACCCAACAUCUCACGACACGAGCUGACGACAGCCAUGCAGCACCUGUGUUCCGGCCAGCCGAACUGAAGGAGUUCAUCUCUGAUCUCCAAACCGGACAUGUCAAAGGCUGGUAAGGUUCUGCGCGUUGCGUCGAAUUGAACCACAUGCUCCACCGCUUGUGCGGGCCCCCGUCAAUUCCUUUGAGUUUCAACCUUGCGGUCGUACUCCCCAGGCGGGGUACUUCCUGCGUUAGCGCCGGCACCCAGAGGGUCGCUCCCCCAGGCACCUAGUACCCAUCGUUUACGGCGUGGACUAC